AUGGAUCUCUGCGGCCAAGAACAAGAGGCAACAGGGGCAACUUGCUCGCGGAUGGACUGGAAGGUGGAGACGCCACGCGAGGAGGGUCAUGGUGCGGCUGCUUGCUGGUGGUGGAGAACUCCGGCAACGACGAGCUGCAAGAGGCCGGCCUUGCGAUCUUGCCAGAGUAGAACGGAGGCGGAGGGGCGAGCUCGACGGAGGCGAAGCCACGGACGCAGGGGCUGUCCAUGCAGAGCAGAGGAGGGUAGCAGGAGCGACAUCGAGGGAGUCCUGGCCUGGCAGAGCCGGCCAUCCAUGGCGGGCCAAGGUCACUGCAGCGAUGGAGGCGGUGGGACUACGCGAGGCAGGGGGCGCCGGAGUUGA
RNAcentral lists this ribosomal RNA (363 nucleotides) under Triticum aestivum (bread wheat). RNAcentral describes it as "partial small subunit ribosomal RNA". Lineage: Eukaryota; Viridiplantae; Streptophyta; Magnoliopsida; Poales; Poaceae. The record is from RNAcentral.